UUACUUGCAUACCGAAAUACAACAAAUAGCGACGUAUUUGUCCUAAUCGACUUGGGAAUAGCUCUAAGGUUCUGUGUCAUAGCCAAGAUGUUUAUGCCCAAGUGCCGGUUCUUGAGCACCAAGUUAGUUAGCGCAGAUUUACCAGUUGACUUGAAUGCCUUAAUAUUAAUGCCUUUGAGGGUGGGGCUAACCCCUCGACCCCUCCACUAGCCUCAGGGCGCGUGUUCGUCUUCCCUGGGCAUGCGGGAAUGCAGCUGGUCCAUCAAUCAGUGCAAAUUAGUCAUGUGAAGGCAAGUUAAAGGACCCCAACCCCAGCCUCUCGAAAAUCUCACUGAAGCGGUACCCGCCAUUGUCGCUGGCAUUGAACGCGAAGUCCUCAGCCAUCAGAGCCUGCUUCUCCGCCUUGUAAGCGCCCAGCUUCUUGCGCAUGUAGGGGAACACGUACAUGGAUCGGCUGGAUCCGCGCAGCAUCGUCGCGUCACGGCUGCACUGGCCUCCUGUGUAAAACCUGGCACGGAAAUGCCACCGCAGGCCGUUUAUGCUCGCAUGGAUCAUGGCAGCCGACUUAUCGGAGUGAGCGGCUGUCCGGUCGUAGACCCAGUCCGCCAGGUCUGGGUCAUCUGGGCAGCC
RNAcentral lists this long non-coding RNA (630 nucleotides) under Chlamydomonas reinhardtii. Its description in RNAcentral is "long non-coding RNA (CREI_LNC001230)". The record is from RNAcentral. Lineage: Eukaryota; Viridiplantae; Chlorophyta; Chlorophyceae; Chlamydomonadales; Chlamydomonadaceae.